UACAGAGGUCCCAAGCGUUACUGAGAAUCACUGGGUUUAAAGGGUGCGUAGGUGGUCCGUUAAGUCAGUUGUGAAAUCCCCGGGCUCAACCCGGGAACUGCUUCUGAUACUGGCGGACUUGAGGCCAGUAGGGGGUCACUAGAACUGACGGUGGAGCGGUGAAAUGCGUAGAUAUCGUCAGGAAUGCCGGUGGUGAAGACGGGUGACUGGGCUGGUUCUGACACUGAGGCACGAAAGCGUGGGGAGCGAACGGGG
Molecule: ribosomal RNA, 255 nt
Filed under: uncultured bacterium
Lineage: Bacteria
Description: partial 16S ribosomal RNA
Rfam family: Bacterial small subunit ribosomal RNA
Source: RNAcentral